GACGAACGCUGGCGGCGUGCUUAACACAUGCAAGUCGAACGGAAAGGUCCUGCGUUUGUUGGGUUCUCGAGUGGCGAACGGGGGAGUAACACGUGAGUAACCUGUCCUUGACUUUGGGAUAACUUCAGGGAACUGGGGCUAAUACCGGAGAGGAGCUCCUGCUGCGUGGGGUGGGAUGGAGAGUUUCGGCCGUGGGGGCUGGACUCGCUGCUUAUCAGCUUUUUUGUGGGGCAGUGGCUUACCAAGGCUUUGACGGGUAGCCGGCCUGAGAGGGUGAACGGCCACAUUGGGCCUGAGAUACGGACCAGACGCCUAUGGGAGGCAGCAGUGGGGAAUAUUGCACAAUGGGCGGAAGCCUGAUGCAGAAACGUCGCGUGCGGGAUGACGGCUUUCGGGUUGUAAACCGAUUUCGACUGUGACGAAGCGUGAGUGACGGUAAUGGGUAAAGAAGCACCGGCUAACUACGUG
RNAcentral lists this ribosomal RNA (468 nucleotides) under uncultured bacterium. Its description in RNAcentral is "partial 16S ribosomal RNA". It matches the Rfam family "Bacterial small subunit ribosomal RNA", at positions 28 to 507 of the family's 1533-position model. The record is from RNAcentral.